RNAcentral lists this transfer RNA (89 nucleotides) under Schizophyllum amplum. RNAcentral's name for it is "Auriculariopsis ampla tRNA-Pro". It matches the Rfam family "tRNA". Rfam says of the family: Transfer RNA (tRNA) molecules are approximately 80 nucleotides in length. Their secondary structure includes four short double-helical elements and three loops (D, anti-codon, and T loops). The record is from RNAcentral. Lineage: Eukaryota; Fungi; Basidiomycota; Agaricomycetes; Agaricales; Schizophyllaceae.
GGCCUGAUGGUCUAGUAGUAUGAUUCCUUGUUAGGGCAAUUCCACUGCACUCAUCGAGGAGGUCCCGGGUUCAAUUCCCGGUCAGGCCC